CGGAAUGUAGCGCAGCGGUAGCGCACUGGCUCGGGAAGCUAGGGGUCCCAGGUUCGAAUCCUGGUGUUCCGACCA
Molecule: transfer RNA, 75 nt
Filed under: Brevundimonas phage vB_BpoS-Domovoi
Lineage: Duplodnaviria; Heunggongvirae; Uroviricota; Caudoviricetes; Jeanschmidtviridae
Also listed under: 1 other name
Description: tRNA-Pro
Rfam family: tRNA
About the family: Transfer RNA (tRNA) molecules are approximately 80 nucleotides in length.
Source: RNAcentral